GUAAGGAAUAUUGGGCAAUGGACGCAAGUCUGACCCAGCCAUGCCGCGUGGAGGAUGAAGGUCCUCUGGAUUGUAAACUUCUUUUAUCUGGGAAGAAAUCCAUAUUUUCUAAUGUGGUUGACGGUACCAGAUGAAUAAGCACCGGCUAACUCCGUGCCAGCAGCCGCGGUAAUACGGAGGGUGCAAGCGUUAUCCGGAUUCACUGGGUUUAAAGGGUGCGUAGGUGGGCAGGUAAGUCAGUGGUGAAAUCUCCGGGCUUAACUCGGAAACUGCCGUUGAUACUAUCUGUCUUGAAUAUCGUGGAGGUUAGCGGAAUAUGUCAUGUAGCGGUGAAAUGCUUAGAUAUGACAUAGAACACCCAUUGCGAAGGCAGCUAACUACACGAUCAUUGACACUGAGGCACGAAAGCGUGGGGAGCAAACAGG
RNAcentral lists this ribosomal RNA (425 nucleotides) under uncultured bacterium. RNAcentral's name for it is "bacterial SSU rRNA". It matches the Rfam family "Bacterial small subunit ribosomal RNA", at positions 354 to 776 of the family's 1533-position model. The record is from RNAcentral.